GAUGAAGAACGUAGCGAAAUGCGAUACGUAAUGUGAAUUGCAGAAUUCAGUGAAUCAUCGAAUCUUUGAACGCAAAUUGCGCUCUUUGGUAUUCCGAAGAGCAUGCUUGUUUGAGCGUCAUUUGUACCCUCAAGCUUUGCUUGGUGUUGGGCGUCUUGUCUCUAGCUUUGCUGGAGACUCGCCUUAAAGUAAUUGGCAGCCGGCCUACUGGUUUCGGAGCGCAGCACAAGUCGCACUCUCUAUCAGCAAAGGUCUAGCAUCCAUUAAGCCUUUUUUUCAACUUUUGACCUCGGAUCAGGUAGGGAUACCCGCUGAACUUAAGCAUAUCAAUAAGCGGAGGA
RNAcentral lists this unclassified non-coding RNA (341 nucleotides) under soil metagenome. RNAcentral's name for it is "partial contains 5.8S ribosomal RNA, internal transcribed spacer 2, and large subunit ribosomal RNA". The stretch from base 1 to 120 matches the Rfam family "5.8S ribosomal RNA", at positions 35 to 154 of the family's 154-position model. The record is from RNAcentral.